UAUUGUGUGUCUAUUUUAAAAACAGAAAAGUAACUUUUUUUCUCUUUUUUUCUAAUUAGGCUUGGACUCUUGGAUCAUCUGGUGACUUCAGAAUUCUGGUCUCAGGGUGGUGAACUUUUUCUUUGAAUUCCUAACCUGUGAGCCUGUGCUGGAUACAUUCACUAAUAUACUGGAGUGGAUCAACUUGAUUCAUAAGAGACAACUGUUGUGUGAAGAAUUUUGAAGGCUGCAUAUUAGUUUGAAAAGGUGCCAUGGUAGAAACAUUUACAUCACAUAUAUUGGCAAACAUUUGAAAACCGGGCUUUAACUUUUUUCUUGGAAAGCUAG
Bos indicus x Bos taurus (hybrid cattle) is the source of this 327-nucleotide long non-coding RNA. The record is from Ensembl. Lineage: Eukaryota; Metazoa; Chordata; Mammalia; Artiodactyla; Bovidae.